Molecule: ribosomal RNA, 460 nt
Filed under: uncultured bacterium
Lineage: Bacteria
Description: partial 16S ribosomal RNA
Rfam family: Bacterial small subunit ribosomal RNA
Source: RNAcentral
CCUACGGGAGGCAGCAGUGAGGAAUAUUGGUCAAUGGGCGAGAGCCUGAACCAGCCAAGUCGCGUGAAGGAUGACGGCCCUACGGGUUGUAAACUUCUUUUGUCAGGGAGCAAUUGGGUCCACGCGUGGGCUUAGCGAGAUUACCUGAAGAAAAAGCAUCGGCUAACUUCGUGCCGGCAGCCGCGUUAAUACGGAGGAUGCGAGCGUUAUCCGGAUUUUUUGGGUUAAAAGGGUGCGUAGGCGGAAUAUCAAGUCAGCGGUAAAAAUUCGGGGCUCAACCCCGUCGUGCCGUUGAAACUGAUGUUCUUGAGUGGGCGAGAAGUAUGCGGAAUGCGUGGUGUAGCGGUGAAAUGCAUAGAUAUCACGCAGAACUCCGAUUGCGAAGGCAGCAUACCGGCGCCCAACUGACGCUGAAGCACGAAAGCGUGGGUAUCGAACAGGAUUAGAUACCCGGGUAGUC